CAGCAGCCACGGGAAUACAGAGGGUGCGAGCGUUAAUCGGAUUUACUGGGCGUAAAGCGUGCGUAGGCGGUUUGUUGCGUCGGGAGUGAAAACCCAGGGCUUAACUUUGGGCUUGCUUUCGAUACGGGCAGACUUGAGGCAUUGAGGGGAGAACGGAAUUCCUGGUGUAGCGGUGAAAUGCGCAGAUAUCAGGAGGAACACCGGUGGCGAAGGCGGUUCUCUGGCAAUGUUCUGACGCUGAGGAGCGAAAGUGUGGGGAGCGAACAGGAUUAGAUACCCCUGUAGUCCCUGUCUCUUAUAC
This 301-nucleotide ribosomal RNA is filed under the name uncultured bacterium. Its description in RNAcentral is "partial 16S ribosomal RNA". It matches the Rfam family "Bacterial small subunit ribosomal RNA", at positions 509 to 807 of the family's 1533-position model. The record is from RNAcentral.